AUAAUUUAGUAUAGGAUGUACAGUAAUUUUUGGAAUUUCAGGGGGCAGUUUGACUCUGCUAUUUAUAAU
Molecule: transfer RNA, 69 nt
Filed under: Anthicidae sp. 1 ACP-2013
Lineage: Eukaryota; Metazoa; Arthropoda; Insecta; Coleoptera; Anthicidae
Description: tRNA-Gln
Source: RNAcentral